Molecule: long non-coding RNA, 227 nt
Organism: Thalassophryne amazonica
Lineage: Eukaryota; Metazoa; Chordata; Actinopteri; Batrachoidiformes; Batrachoididae
Exons: 2
Source: RefSeq, a predicted model, not a curated record
UAAUUUUUCUGAAUUUCAGAUUUAUUGAGACCAUGGAGAAACUUUUAGAGAGGGAAAUCGGGCAAAUGAAAUAAUUAUUUUUGGGGUAGCGAGAUUUGGAAUAUUAUCUUUUCAAAGCCACGUAUUGCACAGAACACAGUGGGAGACUGUGCCAGGUGUUUUAGCUCUGCUCAGUGGACAUGAGAAACACAAAUGCAAAUAUCGGCAAUACUUCAAAAACAAACAAA